RNAcentral lists this ribosomal RNA (497 nucleotides) under uncultured bacterium. Its description in RNAcentral is "partial 16S ribosomal RNA". It matches the Rfam family "Bacterial small subunit ribosomal RNA", at positions 28 to 507 of the family's 1533-position model. The record is from RNAcentral.
GAUGAACGCUGGCGGCGUGCCUAAUACAUGCAAGUCGAGCGAACAGACGAGGAGCUUGCUCCUCUGACGUUAGCGGCGGACGGGUGAGUAACACGUGGAUAACCUACCUAUAAGACUGGGAUAACUUCGGGAAACCGGAGCUAAUACCGGAUAAUAUAUUGAACCGCAUGGUUCAAUAGUGAAAGACGGUUUUGCUGUCACUUAUAGAUGGAUCCGCGCCGCAUUAGCUAGUUGGUAAGGUAACGGCUUACCAAGGCGACGAUGCGUAGCCGACCUGAGAGGGUGAUCGGCCACACUGGGACUGAGACACGGUCCAGACUCCUACGGGAGGCAGCAGUAGGGUAUCUUCCGCAAUGGGCGAAAGCCUGACGGAGCAACGCCGCGUGAGUGAUGAAGGUCUUCGGAUCGUAAAACUCUGUAAUUAGGGAAGAACAAAUGUGUAAGUAACUAUGCACGUCUUGACGGUACCUAAUCAGAAAGCCACGGCUAGCUACGUG